This 253-nucleotide ribosomal RNA is filed under the name uncultured bacterium. RNAcentral's name for it is "partial 16S ribosomal RNA". It matches the Rfam family "Bacterial small subunit ribosomal RNA", at positions 524 to 776 of the family's 1533-position model. The record is from RNAcentral.
UACGUAGGGUGCAAGCGUUAAUCGGAAUUACUGGGCGUAAAGCGUGCGCAGGCGGUUAUGUAAGACAGAUGUGAAAGCUCAGGGCUUAACCCUGAAAUGGCAUUGAAUACUACUGUGCUGGAGGUUUGGAGGGGGGACUGGAAUUCUUGGUGUAGCAGUGAAAUGCGUAGAUAUCAAGAGGAACACCAGUGGCGAAGGCGAGUCCCUGGACAACACCUGACACUGAGGCACGAAAGCUAGGGGAGCAAACGGG